This 308-nucleotide unclassified non-coding RNA is filed under the name Hevea brasiliensis (rubber tree). The record is from RNAcentral. Lineage: Eukaryota; Viridiplantae; Streptophyta; Magnoliopsida; Malpighiales; Euphorbiaceae.
GAAAUGCAACUGUUUGAAUUCGAUUCCACCAAGUAUAGAAGCGUGAUGAACCGAGCCGAGCUUGAGCUUUGAAGAUUUCAGCAGCCCAUGCUUAUUCAUGGGAGAUUCUCAACUUUAUGGAAGAGGUAGAGGUGGGCUUGGAGGGGGCGAUGCCUCCAAGGAUCGCUUGGUUCUUUAUGAACGGUUGCUCUAACAACCUUUCAAAAUUGUUCGGGCCAUUUAGCUUGAAAUUGGGUCGAGUACUAGCAUUCCGAGAUGGUCCGGCGAUCUGAAGGACGGGACCACCGGUGGAGAAUCUCUCUUAAACA